NNNUCUAGUGGUAGAAUUCGUCGUUGCCAUCGACGAGGCCCGUGUUCGAUUCACGGAUGAUGCA
This 64-nucleotide transfer RNA is filed under the name Penicillium chrysogenum KF-25. Its description in RNAcentral is "tRNA-Gly (GCC) (tRNA-Gly-GCC-8-1, tRNA-Gly-GCC-8-2)". The record is from RNAcentral. Lineage: Eukaryota; Fungi; Ascomycota; Eurotiomycetes; Eurotiales; Aspergillaceae.